RNAcentral lists this long non-coding RNA (699 nucleotides) under Pan troglodytes (chimpanzee). RNAcentral's name for it is "lincRNA". Lineage: Eukaryota; Metazoa; Chordata; Mammalia; Primates; Hominidae. The record is from RNAcentral.
GGAAGCCCACGCUGAGGGAAGAAUCAUGGGAAAGAUUAGAGACGGGGUUCCACCGUGUUAGCCAGGAUGGUCUCGAUCUCCUGACCUCGUCAUCCUCCCGCCUUGGCCUCCCAAAGUGCUGGGAUUACAGGCUUGAGCCACCGCGCCCCGCUCUUUCCUGCUCCAAAUGCUUUUUAAAUAAACUUCCACUCCUGUCCUGGAUUCUGCUUUAUGGCCCUCAGUCGAAUUCUUUCUUCUGAGGAGGCAAGGACUGAAGUUGCUUCUGACCAGUACAGCAGAAAACGAAUACAGCAGGGAUGACUUCCACCAGCUCCACUUUGCAGCUCUGAGGUGUAUUAAAAAUGACCUGGAAGAAGUCAUGCCACGGGCCAGACCUUAACAUUCCUUUCUGCUUACCCCAGGAUUUCAGACAAAGCUUCACUUUCCUAACCAGUCACAAAUCAGAGAAUUUUUGAAUCCACCUAUGACCUGUGAGCUCCUGCUUCAAGAUAUUCCACCUUUUUUAGGCCAAACCAAUGUAUAACCUCCAAGUGUCGAUUUACACUUUUGACUGUAACUUCUGCUUUCCUGAGAUUUACCCCUGCCUUUAAAAACCCUUGCUUGUAAUCCAUCAGGGAGGCCGUGUAUUUAUUAAUCAUGAGCUGCCCAAUUCUCCUUGCUUGGUGCCCUGCAAAUAAACACCCUCUUUUCUCCCACUGC